CCUGGCCUGGACGGGACGCUCCUGCCGCCCUCCUGCAGCGCGGACCUCAGGUCUGCUGAGCACCACCUGAGGACGGGCACUGGCGCAUGCGCCCCAUAGAAGUGAUGGAGACACAGAGGACCUGCUCCAGGCGGGGCUUCAGCGUGUGGGUUCGCGGGUCCUGGGAGCCGAGAGAAGGCGCCUGUUUCUUCGGGUCUGACGGGCACAAGCCGAAUCUCCCCACGAGGUGCUCGUGUGCCCAGGUGCCGGCGUACAGGGCCCGAUGCCAGACGUUUCUGCAUCUCCUACCUCCUCCCCCUAGCUUCUCCCCUUUCGCGGGUGGCCCAGGUGCGUGGGGGCAUCGGCAGGGGAGGGGCCAGGGCCUAAGAAGUCUGCAGGGGUCGGCGGUGAAGGGCAGGGAGCCGCAGCCCCGAGCCCCCGCGCAAGGGUAGAGAUCUGAAGUCUAAGGCGGUCUCUGCGUGACCUUGGGCGAGUCAUUCCCCUCGGGAGCCUCAGCUGGCUCGCCCGUCAAGUGGGAACGCAGCGGCCGCACUUGGCGGGUUGCCCGCGGUGGAGCGCGGAGCUCGGCGGGGCGCCGGGACGAGGUGAGGAGGGGUCCAGCCGCCCAGGGGGAGUCGGGGGGCCGCGGGCGUCCCCGGGCGGGCGCUGGGGGGCGCUGCGCGCCGGGCGGCUCGCCCCGCGGCAAGUUUGCCUCCAGCUGUUGAAUGCGCCCGCGACGGCGACGGCGACGGCGACGGCGGCGGCGGGACCCGGAGCCCGCGGGGUGAGCGGGGCGGGGGGCCGGGCGGGGCCGGGGCUCGGCGCUCCCCGCGGCCGCCGCCGCCGCCUCCCCGGGCGCUGCAGCUGCGGCGUUGGAGCCGGGCGGGCCCCCGCCCCGCGGCCGCGUGUCUGCGUGCGCGCGUGUCUGUGGAAGGAUCGGGCCGGGGGAGGGGGGCGGGCGGGGUCUCGCUGCGGACGCGCCUGCGGACGGACGGACGGACAGACCGCGGGCCGCGGCCCCUGACGCACGCUGCGCUCCCACCCCGGCGGCGGCGGCGGCCCGGGCCGGGCGGGGGCGGGUCGGGGGCGGGGGCGGGGGCGGCGGCGUCUGCGCGCACACGCGGGCUCGCAGACACACACACACGCACACGCGGGCCACGCCGCGCACACCCGCACCCGCGCCCGCGCUCACACUCACUCACACUCACACUCGCGCGCAGGCCCCGCAGCCGCCGCCGCCUCCGGAAGCGGCGCUCGGCCCGGAUCCCGGCCGGCCUGGAGGAGCCAGGAGACAGAUGGGUCUCUUCCUUCCUGUCCUGUCUCUCAAGCUCCCUCCUCAGAGCUUCAUUCUCCAGCCUCCUGUGGGAAUCGUGGGAAUCGUCUGAAGUUUGAGCCUAGAACCAGAGGAGGAGGAGGAGGAGGAGGAAGAAGACAAGGAAGAGGAGGAGGAGGAGGGAGAGGAAGUCUUGAGAGCCCGUGCACCUUUCCAGAAACAGGCGGUGGGGGUGCGUCCCAGGCCCAUCCUCGGUGGCCCACGCCUGCCAGUAGCACCCCUGAGAGGACCCCCCCCCCCCCCGCCGCCCUCUACCGCGGUUGGCACCUGCCGCGUCUGCUCCCUCGGGGGGACCCCUGUGCCGGGGGUCGCCCCCAAGAUGGUGGCGGCCCCAGGGAGGACUGUGCCGCCAGCCCCAGCUUCCCGCUGCUAGGUCCCCUGUGCCCCGGGCCCCCCUUACCCCAAGCCCGGCCUUCCA
RNAcentral lists this long non-coding RNA (1730 nucleotides) under Canis lupus familiaris (dog). RNAcentral describes it as "lncRNA (ENSCAFG00845007135.1)". Lineage: Eukaryota; Metazoa; Chordata; Mammalia; Carnivora; Canidae. The record is from RNAcentral.